AACGCACGAGACCUGCGGACCUGCGGAGGGAUCAUUAUUGAAUUUACUUGUGAGCGCUGUGCUGGCCAGCAAUGGCACUGUGCACGCGUUUGCAUUUAAACAUUUUCUUCUUGUGAACCUUAUGUAGUCGUUGCGGAGGGCUUCAUUGCCCUGAGGAAGCUAGUCAGUAGUUUUGUGAAAGCAGAGCGAAAGCUAGUGGAGCCAACUGACUAUGAUUUAUAUACCUAUCUUUAAAACCUA
RNAcentral lists this unclassified non-coding RNA (240 nucleotides) under soil metagenome. RNAcentral's name for it is "partial contains 5.8S ribosomal RNA, internal transcribed spacer 2, and large subunit ribosomal RNA". The record is from RNAcentral.